RNAcentral lists this transfer RNA (73 nucleotides) under Dipodomys ordii (Ord's kangaroo rat). It matches the Rfam family "tRNA". Rfam says of the family: Transfer RNA (tRNA) molecules are approximately 80 nucleotides in length. Their secondary structure includes four short double-helical elements and three loops (D, anti-codon, and T loops). Further hydrogen bonds mediate the characteristic L-shaped molecular structure. tRNAs have two regions of fundamental functional importance: the anti-codon, which is responsible for specific mRNA codon recognition, and the 3' end, to which the tRNAs corresponding amino acid is attached (by aminoacyl-tRNA synthetases). tRNAs cope with the degeneracy of the genetic code in two manners: having more than one tRNA (with a specific anti-codon) for a particular amino acid; and 'wobble' base-pairing, i.e. permitting non-standard base-pairing at the 3rd anti-codon position. Lineage: Eukaryota; Metazoa; Chordata; Mammalia; Rodentia; Heteromyidae. The record is from Rfam by way of RNAcentral.
GGGAGUGUGGCUCAAGCAGUAGAGUGCCUGCCUAGCAAACACAGGACCCUGAGUUCAAAUCCCAGUGCUGCCA